CACCGCGCUUUCUCUUCCCACUCUCUCUUGUUUCGGGUCAGAUUUUGAAGGAGAAGCUUGGGCCUAGAUCCAGGCCAGCCCAGUCGGGCUUCGAGCCGAGCUCGAACUGUAAUUUUGAAAGAAGUUUCAAGCUCUUUUCGGCAUGAAGCUAGAAUCAGGCCUGAACUGUAUUGAAACCCGACCUAGCCUGCCCCAAUUUCAGCCCAAUUCAUCAGAGAAUAGGGACAUAGGUGUCUAAUAAUGUUCAAAAUUUAUUGUUUCUUGAAAAAAAGUAGCCAUUUCUGCGACUCUGAAAACCAACAAGCGUAUGGGACAUUAACCUGAUGUUGUUAUUGCCAUUGCAUUAAAGUACCAUCGCAUGGAUAAAAUUAGAUGGUAGUCCAUCUAAUUGUUUAUGAGAGUGGAGCUCCCAGAUCUUGCAGAUUCAAUCUCAAGUCUUAUUUUACUCUUGUGGGUGAAUAGAGGGGGGCAAGGCGCCAUUUUUGAAGUUAGACUUUCGAUUGUUACCCUUGUUCUGUUAAAUUGGUUGGAUAUUGGAAGUCUGAACUUUUUACUGAAUGAGUAAAUUGCAUAGAUGCAAUGCUACUAUCAUAACCUCUGCCACAGACAGUUGAAAAGCUAUCACAUGAUCUCGUUGCGUCAUCAUAUUAUCUUUCUUACAGAAAGAAAUUUGUAAGAUAGCAGAAAGAGAACCGCUGCUUUGACUUGACUGAAGACUAGGGCUGUCUUGUUUAAUCAAUGACAUGAAGAUGAACCAACAGUGAUACUAACUGCUCAACUACGGGCAAAGAACUGAAGAAACAAUCUUGAAGCAAUGCAAAGAAAAACCAUAUAAUCAAUAUAUAUGACAUCUAUGAUCAAUUUUGGUGUCCGCAGCCACUCCUUCGCCCUCCCUCCCCUGCUCGCUCUCUUUCUCUUCUCCUCUGGCUUCGGCAAGUUUCCUCUGUCGGUACAGGCCCUGCCGCUACUCCUUUGCCCUCCCUCCCCCAUACCGACUCAUUCCGUUGGAGAAUCGGUAUCGGGCUGGGCCCGCACCGACUCAUUCCGCCGGAGAACCGGUACAGUGCCCAGUACUGGUUCCUCCGACCUUGAUUUUGGUUAGCUUGGGCUGGAAGAUUGUUUUCAGCCAAAAGUUGAAACCUUAGUCUCAGCGUGCUCUUUUUGUGUGUACCUUGGUAGCAUUACAAAGUGAUGCACUUGAUGCAAUUUUCGGUUUUCAUUUUUUGCAAUUCUGGAUCUUCCUAUUUGCAUGCUUGAUUUCUAUAAGCACUGUGUGCCUUACUCCUUUCACAUGGUGAUUUGUCUGUCCCUACAAUCUCCAGAUUGCAGGAUCAGCUGUCUCUCUCUCGUCUCUUCUAUUUUCUGUUCACUUUAGUUAGAAGCCUUGAACCUAGGGUCCCAAGUUAUGUUUCAUAGUCAGUUGUGGGAUAUCACACAUGUACGGAAGCAGGCAUCCAAACCUCCCAUUGAAGUCAAGUAAUUAGUCUAUAAAUGGUAAGAGUAGCGGACAAUUGUGCACUCUUGUGCUCUUUUAAAAUUUGCAUACUAUGUAAUGCUUAUUUAAAACUGCUAUUGCUUGCAAGUUGUUGGGCUCGCUUGUAAUAU
RNAcentral lists this long non-coding RNA (1605 nucleotides) under Phoenix dactylifera (date palm). Its description in RNAcentral is "long non-coding RNA (PDAC_LNC006647)". The record is from RNAcentral. Lineage: Eukaryota; Viridiplantae; Streptophyta; Magnoliopsida; Arecales; Arecaceae.